UAGGGAAUCUUCGGCAAUGGGGGCAACCCUGACCGAGCAACGCCGCGUGAGUGAAGAAGGUUUUCGGAUCGUAAAGCUCUGUUGUAAGAGAAGAACGUGUGUGAGAGUGGAAAGUUCACACAGUGACGGUAACUUACCAGAAAGGGACGGCUAACUACGUGCCAGCAGCCGCGGUAAUACGUAGGUCCCGAGCGUUGUCAGGAUUUAUUGGGCGUAAAGCGAGCGCAGGCGGUUUAAUAAGUCUGAAGUUAAAGGCAGUGGCUUAACCAUUGUUCGCUUUGGAAACUGUUAAACUUGAGUGCAGAAGGGGAGAGUGGAAUUCCAUGUGUAUCGGUGAAAUGCGUAGAUAUAUGGAGGGACACCGGUGGCGAAAGCGGCUCUCUGGUCUGUAACUGACGCUGAGGCUCGAAAGCGUGGGGAGCAAACAGG
RNAcentral lists this ribosomal RNA (429 nucleotides) under bacterium. RNAcentral's name for it is "partial 16S ribosomal RNA". It matches the Rfam family "Bacterial small subunit ribosomal RNA", at positions 355 to 776 of the family's 1533-position model. The record is from RNAcentral.